CUUUUUUUUGUGUAGAUUCGACCUGAUAUUAUUGGGGCCUAAAGCCUCCGUAGCCGGCCACGAAGUUCCACCGGGAAAUCCGCCGGCUCUUCUGGCGGGCGUCCGGUGAAAACCACGUGGCUUGGGACCGGAAGGCUCGAGGGGUACGUCCGGGGUAGGAGUGAAAUCCCGUAAUCCUGGACGGACCACCGAUGGCGAAAGCACCUCGAGAAGACGGAUCCGACGGUGAGGGACGAAAGCUAGGGUCUCGAACCGGAUUAGAUACCCGGGUAGUCCUAGCUGUAAACGAUGCUCGCAAGGAGUGGCACAGGCUACGAGCCUGUGCUGUGCCGUAGGGAAGCCGAGAAGCGAGCCGCCUGGGAAGUACGUCCGCAAGGAUGAAACUCACAGGAAUUGACGGGGUGU
RNAcentral lists this ribosomal RNA (405 nucleotides) under Haloferax sp. HA1. RNAcentral's name for it is "bacterial SSU rRNA". It matches the Rfam family "Archaeal small subunit ribosomal RNA", at positions 1 to 876 of the family's 1478-position model. The record is from RNAcentral. Lineage: Archaea; Methanobacteriati; Methanobacteriota; Halobacteria; Halobacteriales; Haloferacaceae.